RNAcentral lists this ribosomal RNA (484 nucleotides) under uncultured bacterium. RNAcentral describes it as "partial 16S ribosomal RNA". It matches the Rfam family "Bacterial small subunit ribosomal RNA", at positions 30 to 507 of the family's 1533-position model. The record is from RNAcentral.
AUUGAACGCUGGCGGCAGGCCUAACACAUGCCAGUCGAGCGGAUGAAGGGAGCUUGCUCCUGGAUUCAGCGGCGGACGGGUGAGUAAUGCCUAGGAAUCUGCCUGGUAGUGGGGGAUAACGUCCGGAAACGGGCGCUAAUACCGCAUACGUCCUGAGGGAGAAAGUGGGGGAUCUUCGGACCUCACGCUAUCAGAUGAGCCUAGGUCGGAUUAGCUAGUUGGUGGGGUAAAGGCCUACCAAGGCGACGAUCCGUAACUGGUCUGAGAGGAUGAUCAGUCACACUGGAACUGAGACACAGUCCAGACUCCUGCAGGAGGCAGCAGUGGGGAAUAUUGGACGAUGGGCGAAAGCCUGAUCCAGCCAUGCCGCGUGUGUGAAGAAGGUCUUCGGAUUGUAAAGCACUUUAAGUUGGGAGGAAGGGCAGUAAGUUAAUACCUUGCUGUUUUGACGGUACCAACAGAAUAAGCACCGGCUAACUUCGUG